UACAGGGGGCGAGCGUUAUUCGGAAUUACUGGGCGUAAAGGGCUCGUAGGCGGCCAACUAAGUCAGACGUGAAAUCCCUCGGCUUAACCGGGGAACUGCGUCUGAUACUGGAUGGCUUGAGUUUGGGAGAGGGAUGCGGAAUUCCAGGUGUAGCGGUGAAAUGCGUAGAUAUCUGGAGGAACACCGGUGGCGAAGGCGGCAUCCUGGACCAACACUGACGCUGAGGAGCGAAAGCCAGGGGAGCAAACGGG
This 251-nucleotide ribosomal RNA is filed under the name uncultured bacterium. Its description in RNAcentral is "partial 16S ribosomal RNA". It matches the Rfam family "Bacterial small subunit ribosomal RNA", at positions 526 to 776 of the family's 1533-position model. The record is from RNAcentral.